Molecule: ribosomal RNA, 497 nt
Filed under: uncultured bacterium
Lineage: Bacteria
Description: partial 16S ribosomal RNA
Rfam family: Bacterial small subunit ribosomal RNA
Source: RNAcentral
GACGAACGCUGGCGGCGUGCCUAAUACAUGCAAGUCGAGCGAUGAAGCUUGGUGCUUGCACCAAUUUGAAGAGCAGCGAGCGGGUGAGUAACGCGUGGGGAAUCUGCCUUUGAGCGGGGGACAACAUUUGGAAACGAAUGCUAAUACCGCAUAACAACUUUAAACAUAAGUUUUAAGUUUGAAAGAUGCAAUUGCAUCACUCAAAGAUGAUCUCGCGUUGUAUUAGCUAGUUGGUGAGGUAAAGGCGCACCAAGGCGAUGACACAUAGCCGACCUGAGAGGGUGGUCAGCCACACUGGGACGGGGACCCGGCACAAGCGGCUACGGGAAGCAGCAAGAGGGAAACUUCGGGAAUGGGGGGAAGUCUGAGCGAGGAAGGCCGCGGGAGUGGAGAAGGUUGUCGGGUCGUGAAAGACGGUUGGUGGGGAAGAACGUUGGUGAGAGUGGAAAGCUCAGCGAGUGACGGUAACUACCCAGAAAGGGACGGCUAACUACGUG